RNAcentral lists this ribosomal RNA (661 nucleotides) under uncultured fungus. Its description in RNAcentral is "eukaryotic LSU rRNA". It matches the Rfam family "Eukaryotic large subunit ribosomal RNA", at positions 24 to 664 of the family's 3401-position model. The record is from RNAcentral. Lineage: Eukaryota; Fungi.
CCCGCUGAACUUAAGCAUAUCAAUAAGCGGAGGAAAAGAAACUAACAAGGAUUCCCCUAGUAACGGCGAGUGAAGCGGGAAGAGCUCAAAUUUAAAAUCUGGCGGUCUUUGGCCGUCCGAGUUGUAGCCUAGAGAAGCGUUUUCUGUGGCGGACCAUGUACAAGUCUCUUGGAACAGAGCGUCAUAGAGGGUGAGAAUCCCGUCCUUGACAUGGACCCCCGUUGCUCUGCGAUGCGCUCUCGAAGAGUCGAGUUGUUUGGGAAUGCAGCUCAAAACGGGUGGUAAAUGCCAUCUAAAGCUAAAUAUUGGCGAGAGACCGAUAGCGAACAAGUACCGUGAGGGAAAGAUGAAAAGAACUUUGGAAAGAGAGUUAAACAGUACGUGAAAUUGCUGAAAGGGAAACGCUUGAAGUCAGUCGCGUCGGCUGGAAAUCAGUCUUGCUUCUGCUUGACGUACUUUCUGGUUCGACGGGUCAGCAUCAGUUUUGACCGCCGGAUAAAGUCGUUGGGAAUGUGGCAUCUUCAUGAUGUGUUAUAGCCCGUCGUCGCAUACGGUGGUCGGGAUUGAGGAACUCAGCACGCCGCAAGGCCGGGUCGUUUCGACCACGUUCGUGCUUAGGAUGCUGGCAUAAUGGCUUUAAUCGACCCGUCUUGAAACACGG